Molecule: ribosomal RNA, 503 nt
Filed under: uncultured bacterium
Lineage: Bacteria
Description: partial 16S ribosomal RNA
Rfam family: Bacterial small subunit ribosomal RNA
Source: RNAcentral
AACGAACGCUGGCGGCGUGCCUAACACAUGCAAGUCGAACGAGAAAGGGGCUUCGGCUCCGAGUAAAGUGGCGCACGGGUGAGUAACACGUGGGUAACCUGCCUCUAAGAUUGGGAUAACUCGUCGAAAGAUGAGCUAAUACCGAAUAAGACCACAGUUCCCGCGGGAACAGGGGUCAAAGGUAGCCUCUGCUUGCAAGCUAUCACUUAGAGAUGGGCCUGCGCACCAUUAGCUAGUUGGUAGGGUAACGGCCUACCAAGGCAAAGAUGGUUAGCUGGUCAGAGAGGAUGAGCAGCCAAACUGGAACGGAGACACGGUCCAGACUCCUACGGGAGGCAGCAGUGGGGAAUAUUGCGCAAGAGGAGAAAGCUUGACGCAGCAACGCCGCGUGAGUGAUGAAGGCCUUCGGGUCGUAAAGCUCUGUCGGGAGGAACGAAUGCUCCUGAGGUUAACAGCCUCGGGAGGUGACGGUACCUUCAAAGGAAGCACCGGCUAACUCGGUG